Molecule: ribosomal RNA, 429 nt
Filed under: Bacteroidota bacterium
Lineage: Bacteria; Pseudomonadati; Bacteroidota
Description: Bacteroidetes bacterium partial 16S ribosomal RNA
Rfam family: Bacterial small subunit ribosomal RNA
Source: RNAcentral
UAGGGAAUCUUCGGCAAUGGGGGGAACCCUGACCGAGCAACGCCGCGUGAGUGAAGAAGGUUUUCGGAUCGUAAAGCUCUGUUGUUAAGGAAGAACGAGUGUGAGAAUGGAAAGUUCAUACUGUGACGGUACUUAACCAGAAAGGGACGGCUAACUACGUGCCAGCAGCCGCGGUAAUACGUAGGUCCCGAGCGUUGUCCGGAUUUAUUGGGCGUAAAGCGAGCGCAGGCGGUUAGAUAAGUCUGAAGUUAAAGGCAGUGGCUCAACCAUUGUAGGCUUUGGAAACUGUUUAACUUGAGUGCAGAAGGGGAGAGUGGACUUCCAUGUGUAGCGGUGAAAUGCGUAGAUAUAUGGAGGAACACCGGUGGCGAAAGCGGCUCUCUGGUCUGUAACUGACGCUGAGGCUCGAAAGCGUGGGGUGCGAACAGG